Molecule: long non-coding RNA, 2601 nt
Filed under: Taeniopygia guttata (zebra finch)
Lineage: Eukaryota; Metazoa; Chordata; Aves; Passeriformes; Estrildidae
Description: lncRNA (ENSTGUG00000022818.1)
Source: RNAcentral
AUGUCAGUGUCACAGGGUCACCAUGUCGGUGUCACAGGGUCACCGUGUCAGUGUCAGACUCAGUGUCCCCGUGUCAGUGUCACAGAGUCAGUGUCACCGUGUCAGUGUCACAAAUGUCAGUGUAACAGCGUCACCCUGUCAGUGUCACACAUGUCAGUGUCACCGUGUCAGUGUCACAAAUGUCAGUGUCACAGCGUCACUAUGUCAGUGUCACACAUGUCAGUGUCACAGUGUCCCCGUGUCGUUAUCCCUGUGUCAGUGUCCCCAUGUCAGUGUCACCAUGUCAGUGUCCCCGUGUCAGUGUCCCCAUGUCACUGUCCCCGUGUCAGUGUCACAGUGUCCCCGUGUCAGCGUCCCCGUGUCACUGUCCCCAUGUCACAGUGUCCCCCGUGUCCCCAGAGCAGCGCCAGCCUCGAGCCGCUGUGCAAGGGGGACACCUGGUGGUGGCACGGCCUCGUCACAGCCAGCCCCGCCCGGCGACACCGCCCGCGACCGCCACCCGGUGCCACCUGCAUGGACACCCAGGGCCACCUCCAUGGGACACCCAGUGCCACCCCCAUGGGGACACCCAGUGCCACCUCCAUGGGACACCCAGUGCCACCUCCAUGGGACACCCGGUGCCACCUGCAUGGGACACCCAGGGCCACCUGCAUGGACACCCAGUGUCACCUGCAUGGGACACCCAGGGCCACCUCCAUGGGACACACAGUGCCACUCCCAUGGGACACCCAGUGCCACCUCCAUGGGACACCCAGUGCCACUCCCAUGGGACACACAGUGCCACCUCCAUGGGACACCCAGUGCCACUCCCAUGGGACACACAGUGCCACCUCCAUGGUGACACCCAGUGCCACUCCCAUGGGACACCCAGUGCCACCUCCAUGGGACACCCAGUGCCACCUCCAUGGGACACCCAGUGCCACUCCCAUGGGACACCCAGUGCCACCUCCAUGGGACACACAGUGCCACCUCCAUGGGACACCCAGUGCCACCUCCAUGGGACACCCAGUGCCACCUCCAUGGACACCCAGUGCCACCUGCAUGGGACACCCAGUGCCACCUCCAUGGGACACCCAGUGCCACUCCCAUGGGACACACAGUGCCACUUCCAUGGGACACCCAGUGCCACCUCCAUGGGACACCCAGUGCCACUCCCAUGGGACACCCAGUGCCACCUGCAUGGACACCCAGUGCCACCUCCAUGGGGACACCCAGUUCCACUCCCAUGGGACACCCAGUGCCACCUCCAUGGGGACACCCAGUGCCACUCCCAUGGGACACACAGUGCCACCUGCAUGGGACACCCAGUGCCACCUGCAUGGGACACACAGUGCCACCUACAUGGGACACCCAGUGCCACUCCCAUGGGACACCCAGUGCCACCUCCGUGGGGACACCCAGUGCCACCUCCGUGGGGACACCCAGUGCCACCUGCAUGGGACACCCAGUGCCACCUGCAUGGGACACCCAGUGCCACCUGCAUGGACACCCAGUGCCACCUCCAUGGGGACACCCAGUGCCACCUCCAUGGGACACCCAGUGCCACCUGCAUGGACACCCAGUGCCACCCGCAUGGGACACACAGUGCCACCUGCAUGGGACACCCAGUGCCACCUCCAUGGGACACCCAGUGCCACCUGCAUGGGACACCCAGUGCCACCUGCAUGGGACACACAGUGUCACCUCCAUGGGGACACCCAGUGCCACCUCCGUGGGGACACCCAGUGCCACCUCCGUGGGGACACCCAGUGCCACCUGCAUGGGACACCCAGUGCCACCUCCAUGGGACACCCAGUGCCACCUCCGUGGGGACACCCAGUGCCACCUGCAUGGACACCCAGUGUCACCUCCACGGGGACACCCAGUGCCACCUACAUGGGACACCCAGUGCCACCUGCAUGGACACCCAGUGUCACCUCCACGGGGACACCCAGUGCCACCUGCAUGGGACACCCAGUGUCACCUCCAUGGGACACCCAGUGCCACCCGCAUGGGACACCCAGGGCCACCUCCAUGGGACACCCAGUGCCACCCGCAUGGGACACCCAGUGCCACCUCCAUGGGACACCCAGUGCCACCUACAUGGGACACCCAGUGCCACCUGCAUGGACACCCAGUGUCACCUCCAUGAGAAACCCAGUGCCACCUGCAUGGGACACCCAGUGCCACCUGCAUGGGGACACCCAGUGCCACCUCCAUGGGACACCCAGUGCCACCUACAUGGGACACCCAGUGCCACCUCCGUGGGACACCCAGUGCCACCUGCAUGGGGCACCCAGUGCCACCUCCGUGGGUCCCUCCAUGUCCCCAAAUUCCCUGGACAAUGUCACCUUUGGGGACACCCUUGAUGCCACGGAAUUCCGGAAUUCCCAGCUCCAACCAGGAAUCUCAAAGGUUGUGAUGGGGACAGGGCCAGGUGCCACCUCCAUGGGCCGGUGUCCCCAUGUCCCCAAAAUCCUGGGAAAGGCUGGAAAAGGGAUCCCAAUCCCGGCUGGUGGCUUGGGGCUGGAUGGGGCAGCCUUGGGAGCGAGGAAUCUGAAUGGAAUCCAUGGAAUGCUCAGAUCCCAGGAAUUUCAUCCAUGGAAAACAUUCCUGGGGUGA